Molecule: ribosomal RNA, 89 nt
Filed under: Vibrio anguillarum
Lineage: Bacteria; Pseudomonadati; Pseudomonadota; Gammaproteobacteria; Vibrionales; Vibrionaceae
Source: RNAcentral
CCUGAUUCCAUGCCGAACUCAGAAGUGAAACACAACAGCGCCGAUGGUAGUGUGGGGUCUCCCCAUGUGAGAGUAGGACAUCGCCAGGC